Molecule: transfer RNA, 76 nt
Filed under: Vibrio parahaemolyticus
Lineage: Bacteria; Pseudomonadati; Pseudomonadota; Gammaproteobacteria; Vibrionales; Vibrionaceae
Description: tRNA-Gly
Rfam family: tRNA
About the family: Transfer RNA (tRNA) molecules are approximately 80 nucleotides in length. Their secondary structure includes four short double-helical elements and three loops (D, anti-codon, and T loops).
Source: RNAcentral
GCGACACUAGCUCAGUUGGUAGAGCGCAACCUUGCCAAGGUUGAGGUCACGAGUUCGCACCUCGUGUGUCGCUCCA